RNAcentral lists this ribosomal RNA (315 nucleotides) under Jasminum pentaneurum. RNAcentral describes it as "eukaryotic LSU rRNA". Lineage: Eukaryota; Viridiplantae; Streptophyta; Magnoliopsida; Lamiales; Oleaceae. The record is from RNAcentral.
ACGCAAGUUGCGCCCGAAGCCUCCGUGCCGAGGGCACGUCUGCCUGGGCGUCACGCAUCACGUCGCCCSMCGCCACCGAGUCCCACGGGAUCUGUCGGCGUUGGGUUGGAAGUUGGCCUCCCGUGCGCCCGCACGUGCGGUUGGCCCAAAUACGAUCCGGCACUGGCGCGUGCCUCGACAAUUGGUGGUUGAACUACUCAACUCGCGCGUUGUCGGGAGCUCCAGCGCGCCAAGCUCUCCGGAUGCGUUGGCCCUCACGGUGCACUGCACCCUCGACUGCGACCCCAGGUCAGGCGGGACUACCCGCUGAGUUUA